RNAcentral lists this long non-coding RNA (1061 nucleotides) under Olea europaea subsp. europaea. The record is from RNAcentral. Lineage: Eukaryota; Viridiplantae; Streptophyta; Magnoliopsida; Lamiales; Oleaceae.
UUGUUUUUCCUUUUUUGUCGAUGCUUGGGUUUAUGGUACUACAGUAAUUUUCCACUCUCCUUAUUCUCUUCUAUUUCUUUUUCAUAUGGUAAACAUAAAUUUGGGUUUCUCUUGAUUUUUGUUGAUUUUCAAGAUUUUAAAUAUUUUUGCCUUUUUUUUUUUUUACUGGUCAAAGGCCUCUUUGAAUCCGGCCAUUGGCCACUAUUUCCUUGAAAAAGUGGUCGUGUAGGGCAGCCAUUAGCUACCAUUUCCUCCACUAUUUCCUCCGACAAAUUUUGGGUUAAUGGGUCGGGUAGGAAAAUUCAAAAUUAACACUUCUAUUAAUUUGUGUAUACAACAUCGAUUUUACUAGUGGUAUAUCGGGAUGUAUCUAAUAGUGUACACCCCACUUAUAUGGACGAGAGAUCUACUCAAAUAAAAUAUCAUUUUUUUCACAUGAAUCUCACAAGUAAAAUGUACACCAUUCGAUACACCCCAUUAUGUGCCACUAGAUAAAUUCAUACAAAAAUAUUGUCCAAGGCUAAAAAAAUGAUUCAUCAGCCAAUUACCCACAUUUGCAUCAGUAAGCAUAAAAGCUGACUCCCAGCCAAACAAUACAAUAAUAUAUGAUAACGCCGGUUUAUAAGCAAUCCUAUUCUCAUGAAAAGGUAGCGGGAUCUAGAAGAGGAACCAACUCAUAAGCCAUAAGUUUUACAAAAUGAACAAAUAACACAAACAUACCUCCAAAAAUCCGAUUUUCCAAAUAAAAAUAAAUAAUUAAACUGAAAUAGAAUGAAAGAGUAAGAGCAGUACCUGAGAUUUAAAUAUUCCUAUACCGUCCCAUACCAAGAACAAAGAGUGUUCCACCGAUCUCAUUGUCCACACCUCCAUUUUUCCUUACUGUUUCCAAACUGAGGAUCCGAUCAUUUGUAUCCAAACAAAAUUUUCCUUCUCUAAUCAAUAAAUUGCCUAGCCUCUUGAAAUGGAUGAAUCCUUGAACCAUUUCGUUCUGCCACAGCGAAAAAUAGAGCUAUGAUAUCUCUCUUUUCACAGGAGCAAUGUACUCCUUUUUGGUUUGUUAG